AUUGAACGCUGGCGGCAGGCCUAACACAUGCAAGUCGAAUGGUAACAGGAAACAGCUUGCUGUUUCGCUGACGAGUGGCGGACGGGUGAGUAAUGUCUGGGAAACUGCCUGAUGGAGGGGGAUAACUACUGGAAACGGUAGCUAAUACCGCAUAACGUCGCAAGACCAAAAGAGGGGGGACCUUCGGGCCUCUUGCCAUCAGAUGUGCCAGAUGGGAUUAGCUAGUAGGUGGGGUAACGGCUCACCUAGGCGACGAUCCCUAGCUGGUCUGAGAGGAAUGGACCAGCCACACUGGAACUGAGACACGGUCCAGACUCCUACGGGAGGCAGCAGUGGGGAAUAUUGCACAAUGGGCGCAAGCCUGAUGCAGCCAUGCCGCGUGUAUGAAGAAGGCC
Molecule: ribosomal RNA, 395 nt
Filed under: uncultured bacterium
Lineage: Bacteria
Description: bacterial SSU rRNA
Rfam family: Bacterial small subunit ribosomal RNA
Source: RNAcentral